Long non-coding RNA from Homo sapiens (human), 1116 nucleotides. NCBI's taxonomy places the organism in Eukaryota, Metazoa, Chordata, Mammalia, Primates, Hominidae. The record is from Ensembl.
AUCAGGUCGUAGUGGACUAAUUUUACAGGCGAAGUUAAGUGACUUACCCAAAACCUCACAGCUAAUAAACGGCAGAGCCGGCACCCAGCUGUACUGGCUUCCAGCGCAUCCCAUUAUCUCCAUAAAUCCCCCUGAUUCAACUAAUAUUAGACGCCCCACAGCUGGACCCUGGACACGGUGACUCUGAUUCAAUUAUGCAGAUGACCACAAGCCUCUGGGGUUGGCAGAGCCACAAGAAAGAAGGUGCCUGGAUGAAGGAGAGCUACCCACUGACCUGGACACCCAAUUAUAGGAUAGACAGUGAAGUGCAACUACAGCCCGCAAAUGAAAAUGAAUAAAAUUAAUCCAGCCCCUCAAGGCAGUCAUCUGUCUUAGAGCUAUUGGAAUCCUGGAUCAUUGUGGGAAAUGAAAAGAACUGGUUUUUAGCAAGGAGACCAAGAAACUCUACUCCCUAGGGGCUAGCAAUGAGAGAAAGGAAGCCUUGAGUCUUUGAGCACAGGGUGACAGUUUGGGUCCUAUGUGAGAUGAUCAAAUCCACAGCAACAGAGGAAAGGACAAAAGGAAAAGAUACUUCGAUGGAAUCAGCAGCCAUUGAUCCAAUGCCAACUCCAAGACUGGAACGUCGCAAUGAUAGUUCCAAGGCGGAAAUUUGACGUAAUUCUUUUCGACACAGUUUUACAGGUGUGACACCAUGAAGUCGUCCCACAUUUCCCACAACCUGAAUUUGGGAUGACAGUCGACUGAGAUUUUGUAAACUGAUUAUCAUCUGUUUCUGUUUUAUUCUCAUUACCUAACAUAUGCCCACUGGGGGGUGCUAAAGAACUAUGAAUUGGAGGUAAUUCUGGGAUAUCUUCCCAGAGCUUUUGAGGAUUUGGCUGUGUUCUUAAGCUGCUUGCUGAACUGUCCAUUUCUCUUUCUCUUCCACUUAAUUUCAUACUUUCAGGUCUGGAUGCCCAUUUUAAUUCUUCUGAAAGCAUGCCUCCUUCUGGCUUCAGGACUCCAUCUCCAGCCUUAUGAUCUAAAAAUAAUCCCCAAACCAAAAAAUUAGAUAUUAUUUCCUCAAAAUUAGGUGUUUUAAUCAAAACAUCUUAACAUAAAUACAUUAUUAUCACCCAA